GACGAACGCUGGCGGCGUGCCUAACACAUGCAAGUCGAACGGAACUGUUUUGAAAGAUUUCUUCGGAAUGAAUUUGAUUUAGUUUAGUGGCGGACGGGUGAGUAACGCGUGAGUAACCUGCCUUCAAGAGGGGGAUAACAUUCUGAAAAGAAUGCUAAUACCGCAUGACAUAUCGGAACCACAUGGUUUUGAUAUCAAAGAUUUUAUCGCUUGAAGAUGGACUCGCGUCCGAUUAGUUAGUUGGUGAGGUAACGGCUCACCAAGACCGCGAUCGGUAGCCGGACUGAGAGGUUGAACGGCCACAUUGGGACUGAGACACGGCCCAGACUCCUACGGGAGGCAGCAGUGGGGGAUAUUGCGCAAUGGGGGCAACCCUGACGCAGCAACGCCGCGUGAAGGAUGAAGGUUUUCGGAUUGUAAACUUCUUUUAUUAAGGACGAAAAAUGACGGUAC
This 453-nucleotide ribosomal RNA is filed under the name uncultured bacterium. RNAcentral describes it as "bacterial SSU rRNA". It matches the Rfam family "Bacterial small subunit ribosomal RNA", at positions 28 to 478 of the family's 1533-position model. The record is from RNAcentral.